Molecule: long non-coding RNA, 1252 nt
Organism: Raphanus sativus (radish)
Lineage: Eukaryota; Viridiplantae; Streptophyta; Magnoliopsida; Brassicales; Brassicaceae
Exons: 2
Source: RefSeq, a predicted model, not a curated record
UAUGAUCGUGAGCAACACGAUAAAAAUCGAUACGUGACUGUACUUAUAAAGAAAAAGACAGCCUGAGACUUGGACAAAGUCACUGAAACUGUAAAAAUAUAUUUCAAAAACUCAUACGGAAGGAGAUGUUGAUUUCAAAGAGAAAUGAGCAACGACAUCCCACCGGAAUCCUAUCAUCCUCUGCCUCAGGGUUAUCCAUGGGCGCCUCCGCCGCAUCAAGAAGGAAAUCCUCCACCACCGCCGCCUUCGCGUGAUCAUGAAACCUGUUGAUGGUGGGUUUGCAACCCUCACUUAUCUCUUCACAAAUCUGUAUCAGCUCUCAAUAGCAAAAGAAGAAGCCUGGCGUAAAAGGUAAAACUUUGUAAUCAAGUUUAACUAACUUGGUGGCAAAGCCAUUCCACUAUAAAUAUAACUCUCACUCUUCACAAAAAGAGGACAGGAUUCACUUCCUCAUUUCUACACAAUACAAGAGAGAGAAACACUGAGUAGUUUUAGAGAGGUCUUUCUAGAAAAUCCAGAAAACCAUUCGUCUGACGCGACGCCACGCCGACGCCGACGUACCGAACCGACACCGUAGUGAGUCACUACCGAACCGGCACCGUCAACGUCGCACCAUCAUCGUCUACGAAUGGUUUGAUCUCUCUUAAAAGAGUACGUAGGCAACAUUUCACAAAGUGCAGCUAUAACAUAAAAACCACCUUUUUCUCCUUGCCAUCGCUAGGUACAACUUCAUUAACAAGAUUCUCGGAGCUCCGUAUCUUACAUGGGUUAUCGUAAUCCAUGUUUGACCAUUUAUCAUAUUUGUUGACCAUACCGAAUUUGGACUUUAACAAAACCCAAUAUCAAUUCUACUUUGUCGGUAAUUAUCGUUAUCCGGGACGAACUCCUCCCACACAGCCGCUUAAACUCUACAAACAUUACCAGCAAGAUCAUUACCAGGAUUCUAACUCUGGUGGCUCCUCUUUCCUCCGUGGCUGUCUCGCUGCUUUGUGCUGUUGCUGUGUGUUGGACUGUUUCUGAGAAUGCCCUUCCGGAUCUCUUGUUUUUGUCACUUACAGUCGCAGUUUACACGUUAAAUGGACUACAACACAUGCCUUAACUCUCUGUUGUUAUAUAUGUUCUGUCAUGCUGUCGAUGCUGUACCUCUUUGUUUGAAAGUCUAAUCUAAAACAUUGAUUAGACGAACAGGUUCUCUGUGUAUGUUCUUUGUAAUUUGUCCAAAUUAUUUGAAAAGAAAUUUUACUUUGUUUGA